GUGCCAGCAGCCGCGGUAAUACAGAGGUCUCAAGCGUUGUUCGGAAUCACUGGGCGUAAAGGGUGCGUAGGCGGCGGGGAAAGUCAGAUGUGAAAUCCGGAGGCUCAACCUCCGAAAUGCAUCCGAUACUCCCUCGCUAGAGAUUUGUAGAGGAGUCUGGAAUUCUCGGUGUAGCAGUGAAAUGCGUAGAUAUCGAGAAGAACGCUCGCAGCGAAGGCGAGACUCUGGGCAAAUUCUGACGCUGAUGCACGAAGGCUAGGGGAGCAAACGGGAUUAGAAACCCUCGUAGUCC
Molecule: ribosomal RNA, 292 nt
Filed under: uncultured bacterium
Lineage: Bacteria
Description: partial 16S ribosomal RNA
Rfam family: Bacterial small subunit ribosomal RNA
Source: RNAcentral